Long non-coding RNA from Pelmatolapia mariae (spotted tilapia), 293 nucleotides. RefSeq lists it as uncharacterized. The transcript is spliced from 3 exons. Lineage: Eukaryota; Metazoa; Chordata; Actinopteri; Cichliformes; Cichlidae. The record is from RefSeq and is a predicted model, not a curated record.
AAACUGAUGGAGCCGUUUUUGGAUGAUGGGAGAAAUGUCACAACGGACAAUUUCUUUACUUCACUGUCACUGUCGCACAGACUGCUGCAGCGCAAAACAACGUUACUGGGCACGGUGAAUAAAGUCCGGCGUGAACUUCCUCAACUUGCAAAAGAUACUGCAAAGCGAGAGUUCCAUGCACCAAGACGUGACGAUCGGUGACGGCAGAAAGAGGAAACCCAACACGAUAACAGACUAUAACCACAUGAAGUGUGGUGUAGACGUGUUGGACCAAAUGGCAUGGAUGUAUUCCG